Molecule: RNA transcript, 6606 nt
Organism: Tympanuchus pallidicinctus (lesser prairie-chicken)
Lineage: Eukaryota; Metazoa; Chordata; Aves; Galliformes; Phasianidae
Gene: MRM1
Gene name: mitochondrial rRNA methyltransferase 1
Exons: 13
Source: RefSeq, a predicted model, not a curated record
GUGCCUCCUCAAGGAAUCCGCGCCGCGCGCGCGUGUGCGGCCGGGCCGCGUCCCGGUCCGAUCGAGUGUUUCUGCGUCCCCUCGUCCUGCCCCCCUUCCCCGAGUGGUACCGGGGGUCUCUUCCCCGUGCGGGUAGCUAUGGAGCAGGCGCUCAGGUCUCUCGCCCGCGGGGCCGUGGGGCUGCCGUCCGCCACCUGCAGCCGCUGCUUUGGGAAGGGCCCCGCGCGGGUCCGGCAGCCCUGGCGGUUCUGCACGGCUGCGGCGCGAGGCGGGGACCGAGCCCGCAUCUCCUGUGAAGGUCUGCGGGACUCAGGCUGGGGCUCAGCGAGACGCGAGGUCUCGAAGGGCGGGAGGAGGCCGGACGGAAGGGCUCUGUCCAUCGAGAGGACGAGGGGCAGCGAGAUCCUGUUCGGCGUAGCGCCGUGCUCCAUGGCCCUGUCCCGGGCCAGGAGGGAUCUGUUCAGGCUGUUCCUCAAGCGGAGCGGCGGCCCUCAGCGUGCGAUCAGCAGCGAGUUCGUGCUGCAGGCCGCGGCGCGCGGGAUUCCCGUGCUCUACGUCGGGAGGAGGGAGCUGGAUGCGUUGUGCGGGGGCCGCGUCCACCAGGGAGUGUGCUUGGAGGCCACUCCGCUCCGCUUCAAGAGGCUGGAGGAGGCCGAAGAGCCCGGUUUGGGGGAUGGAGAGAGCCCGAAUCGGCAGCUGCUGUGGCUGGUGCUGGAGCAGAUCCAGGACCCCAUGAACCUGGGGGCACUGCUGCGCUCUGCGUAUUUCUUGGGGGCGGACAGAGUGGUGACGAGCCGGAGGAACAGCUGCCCCUUGACUCCAACAGUGAGCAAAGCAAGUUCUGGAGCUAUGGAAGUCUUUGAUGUCUACAGCACAGAUGAUCUCAGGAGCUUUUUGAAGGCUAAAGCUGCAGAAGGCUGGGAAGUUGUGGGAACAGUGAGCCAGUCUGAAACUGUGGAAAAUGUUCCUGUCAUCAGCUGCUUGGAGUUUCGGUGGAACAAACCCAUUAUUUUAGUGAUAGGUAGUGAAGGUGAUGGCCUUUCCCUGGAGACGCAGCUCCUGUGCCACCAGAUGCUGGUCAUCCCCUCUGGCAGGGCACUGCACCCAGGCAUCGAGUCACUGAACGUCUCCGUAGCCACUGGCAUUCUCCUGCACUCCAUCUGCAGCCAAAAGCUGAGGCACGGUGAUUGAUUUUUGUCCUGGCACAUGGUGGAAGUUGCCCAGCCAAGAUCUUUGAUGGCAAGAAACUGCUCAGUGUUCCAUGGCUGUGUUCAGUAUGGAUAUGGUAGUACUCCUUCCAGGCUCGGCACCAUCUCAGCAAGUUUCAGGUGCUUAAACAUGAGGAGACCCUUCAUUAAGGUUGCUUGUGUUUGGGAAAGCCACGUGCCCUCUGCCCACGCUCAGCCACAGCGGCUCAUCCCCAACAGAUCCCAGGAAAUGCUCUUGACCAUCUGCUGCUGCUCUAAGAAACGAGUGUUUACCACCAGAAACAUGGGAGGUAUCUGGGAUAGAUCACAGCAGAGUGCAAGGGCAGAGUGCAGCCACUUAAGCAAAGCCGUGCCACAGUCACCAUGAGCCUGGAGUCGGAAGCUGCUCAGUCAGCGGCAGCCUCCUCCCGUGGCACCAGGAGGCUGCAGCCUGCAGUGAGCACAGCAAGACCUGGCGCAGUAGGGAAUACGUGGAUGGACACAGGGAUUUUGCUGUGGCCAAGCAGUAGGGAUGACUGGUGUCAUGCACCUCAUCUUAAGGGACAGGGUACGGAAGAGCAAUGAAAUGGGCUGCAUGGGGAAGCUAGCAGUGGGCGAGGAAAACUUCCUCAUGCUCAGUGGAUGCCAUCUAGAACCAACCCUGGGAAUCAGCUCCUUGCUCAGUGCCCUCUGCCAUGGAGGCAGCAAAGCUGAGGGCUGCCUCACUGCAGUUCUGUGUAGGCAAUUUUGCUCUAAGUUCAUUUAGGUGAGCUGUCUUUAGUUCCUUGCUCCGCUCGCUGUAAUUGCUUCUUCAGAGUGAUGCUACACCGCAGGCGUGGGGCUGCUGCCUGGCUGGCCUUCCAUAGACAGACCAAGGAAGGUGAAGCUGCAGUCAUCAGCAGCUUCUGGAAACAUUCCCAGUCCUUGGCGUAUUCAUCAGGAUUGUUACAAUUCUGCUGCCACAAAGAGGGAAGUAUCUUUUUCUUCAUGUUAAAAAGGAAGAGGAAAAAAACUGUUUGCAGAGGUGCAUUCACUCUCUUCCACUCUUGCUAUGCUCGGUGAUCAAAUGGGACCGGUCUUUCUCAUCUUUCUGCUCCUCAUUUGCCUCCUGCAUUUCUGCCACCCUUUGAAUUCUCCCUCUUAAGUGGUGUGUUGCCUUCCUGGGAGCUCCUGCAGCCCUGCCUGUGUGAACAAGGAUGUGAUAAUACUGGGUCCUGAAGCUGCAAAUGCAGAACGAACCAAGGAGUAAAAGAGUUGACAAGACAAGCGGUGGUGGGAAAUGGAGGGAAGACAGUGAAAAAGGUUAUAAUAAAUAAUAAGAAAUGUUGCAUGGGCCAAAGGAAUAAUAGAUCAGCGAUGGAAAGACUCUAAAAGCUGCUGAGGGUUAUUUAUUGAUGGACAUUGUUUAAAAAAAAAAAAAUUCAGUGACAGUUUUCCUUCGUGUUCACAAAGGCAGAUGGCAGGGCAGGUGCCAGAAUGAAAGAUAAAUUUCCUUUUGCAUAAAGAAGAAAUAUUGAAGGAAACUGAGCAGAGGUGAUGGAGAAAUUAGAGCAUUGAAAGACCCUGAAAGCAUGUGGUCCAUGUCAGCCCUCUCUCAGGAUUUUCACCUGAGUCAGCAGAAAGCAGGAAAAACUGUUGCGGGAAAUGAGAACCUCUUUGAAGACCAGUAAUGGAGAGGUUCCUGCAAGUGUCAUGUCCAGAGGUCUGAGGAGGGCUUUCCAGGAAUUAAAAUUGGUGGGGCAGAAGGUUCCUCGUGUGGCUGAGUGGCCGAUGUGCAUCAUCAUCUGGGACUGCAGUAGAGAAGUAGAAGUUAUGAAUGUAAUUAAGGGGAACCAUCAAAGAUUCAGAAAUUGGAAGCCGGACCAGUAACAGGAGAAAACUGACGGAGGGUUUGUGAGGAGUUUGUGCAAAUCAUGAGCCGGGGGGAGCCAAGAGAUACAACUUGUGCAGUGGCAGCGAAGGUUGGGUGUAAUACAGUCAAGAUAACAUGGAGAGGAAGUGAUGAGUGUGGGACAUGGAAGUGCCUGGUGGAGCUCUGAGCUGGUGGUGCACACAGCUGCUCUGAGGAUGCUUUGGUUUCUGUUGCCCUGGCUGUGAGCGGGGAGGUUGGGGAGUCUGUGGGGGGAUCUGUAGGCACCGAGGGGGGGGUUACAGAAUGAAUGUAACUGAGGUACAGAAGAGGCAUGAGGAAGGGAACAAACCCUGCAGGAGCCGAGGGCACCUGGCCUGGCUGGGGAACCUGCAGGGUGGGUCCAACCCAAGGCCAGCAGCUGUGCUUCUGCAACAUGUGCUAGGGAGCUCUAAUUAACAGCUCUCCAAUCUUCCCUGCAGUAGGUGAGUGCAAAUUAGAUGGCCGUUGUCAAACACGGUGAAUCAGACCUGCCAACUUGCUUAUCUGAAAGGGGAGGUUUUUUUUUGGUUUUUCUUUUUUCGGAGGGGUAACAGCCUCACUGUGGGUCUCCCCUUAAUGGGCAUUCAUCCGAUGUCCAACCAGAAUUAAAUCACUCAUCGUGUUGCUCACAGUCAGCAACGGGGGCUGACAGGAAGGAUCUGCGGGCUCUGCUCACUGCGUGUCCUCGUGUCUUUGUUUCAGGAAAGCCGCCUGCCCUUCUACAGCAGAGGAACGCGGCAGCCUGGAUCCACUUUUGCACACACAAACCCCACCCCGUCGGAUGAAACCCCUCACAAAGUGCCAUCAGGUGAUGGCCACGACGGGGUUAUGUGGGGGCCUUCAUCAGAGCUCAGCUGGGGGUCUGCAAUAUAAAGAGGGGAUGAGGAGGGAGGUUCUCCAGCACAGCAGAGCUCCUGCUGCUUGAGGGCUGCCCGGCCCGCGUCAGACCUCAAACAGAAGGAAGCGAGGAAAAGACGACGGAACGCGUCCCCUCGGAAGCAGGGCAUGCUCGCUGCAGGGCUGCUCCCCGACGGCCGCAGCAGCAAAGCGCUCAGGUUCCGCCUCGUGCAUUGCUCGAGUCGCGCGCUGCGCUCCGCGCACGAGGCGCCGUGCAGCCACGCGCGCGCCUGGCGCUGUGGGAAGCGGUUGCGGGGAGCCGGGCUGCCUCAGCGCCGCUCGCCUCGACGGAGCCCCCCGACCCGCCGCGGCUCCCGCAGCGCCCGCCCUCCGCCGCUAGAGGCUGCUGCACACCUCGUUAAACCGACGCGGCCGUUCGCGGCGGAUCCCGACGGUAGGUGCGGCGCGGGUGGGCGCUCCGAGGGCAGCGGGGCGGGGCGUUCUGCUCCCGGCGGGGGGCGGCCCUGAGGCGGGGGGGAUCCUGGCGCGUCGGCUUUGCUCCAACGCCUGAAGGGACGCUCCCCGACGGGGCGGUGUUGCGCGCCGCACAGAUGCGCGAACGUCUGUAAAAGUAGAUAAGUUACGGCCCCACGUAAACAUGUUUGCAAAGGAGUCCUGGGGAUCCCGAGGUAAAGCAUUGUGAGAAAUCCUUUGUCUGAGAGGAACCGCGGUUCUCGGGCAGCACCGCACGGCCUCGCGACGGGAGCCCAAGCCGAGGCCGGGAGCACCGCGCGGCUCGCAGCGCUGCGCGCUCUGUUCGGGCUGCUGCAGAACGUUGCGCACGUGCCCUCAGCUGUUGUGUGCGCGGAGCUUCGGGCUGCGCCGUGACGGAGCGCUGUACAAGCCCAGCGCUUAUGCUAAGUAAAUAUCAGCAUUUUCACCGGCCUCCUUCCUCCCCUCCGCAAAGCGCAGGCUUGCUUUCCUCUCCCCUCCCCCUUUUGCCAGCAACUUGAUCUUAUUAGGCUGCAGAGUUAUAGGUUUGUUGUAAAUCUGGACCACGGAGAGCCCGUAGCAGCCAGGCUCGUGUUUUCAUUUCUGUAUCUUUCAUUGGCGACGUCGGUUCAGGGUUUGGGUCUUUUUUAAUUAUAGGGUUAUUUUGUUUUGUCAACAUCCAUCACACAGUGCACAGUGUUAUUUAAAACCAUCUACAGCAGUGGGCUGACCACGCUGUGUAAAGGAGUAGUACCUUAAUGCCCGUAUCCGGUGUCCCUCUGCCGCUGAGUUAGGAUCAGUGUUGGCAUCCUCUGCCCUGCAGAAGGGCAGGGAGCCAGCUGCACCCAUCUGCAUCCCCAGGAUCCCACUGUGUUCACACAGUGCUCUGUGAGCACUUCACCUAACCAGCGCUGCCAUGGGCAUUCAAAGCUGCCAACGAGUGAAGAUGAUGGGGCACUGUCAGCCUUCCCGUGGGCUGCGUGUUAGGCAGCACUGCUGCUCUGCCUUUUAGUAAUUUUAUGGACCUGAUAUUUUAAGGCACCGAAGGGAACGAUGAUGUUCAUUCGACAUGUGAGAUUAUAAAACGGUGAAGUGUUUGUUUGCAUGGCCUGGGUUGGUAAUGCCUGUUUUAGAGAGCUUGUUGUUUUAUUGCCAGCUUUCUGGUGGGGAAGAGAGGAAACAGAAACCGCAGAAUUAUUAUCAUUUAUUUUGUUGCAGUUAGGUUUUUAUGAAGAUAGGGGUACAGAUGGAUAUAUAGAUAUGCACAAGCAACUGUAAAUGUAAGAUGAAAAUAGAUCUCCUUCCCGAGCCGAAUUCUUGCCGCUCUUUGCAUCCUUUCCAGAGAUGUUUUUCUACUGAAGAACAUCAGCGAUUUGCUUUAAUGAAGUAUAAAAAGCAUGCAGUGGUGCGAGGGAGUCUUGUGGGUGGAGAUGAAUAGAUGGGCCUUGCAGGCAGCGCGAGUUCUGUUCCGCUUUCACUGAUGCAGUCCUGGAGGUUUUGCACCCAUGAAGAGCUGUGGAGGUACUCAGGUGUUGGGAAUGGGAUAUCCCAGGCUGGGUUAUGUGGUAGAAGCAAUGCAUGCAAGUGUAUAUAUCUGCAUCUGGUUGCACAGCACAUCCAGGAAGAAGUAAAAAGGUUCUGCUGACUGCCAUGCAUACGGUGUGUUUCCUGUAGAGCAAAGUGGCCGUGCAGUUGUUUGCUGCCAUGGGAGCCCAUCUCCAUUUGCUGUGUAUCGUUUGAGAGAGGAAGUUAAAAUCUGCCCUUAGGUGUACGCUUGCAUUUGCUGUAGAAACUGAGAAAUCCUACCUGGUGAUGGGCUGCGUGUGUGCAGCUGGGGGCAGAAUGAAGCCCACGGUUGGUAGCAGCCACACAAGUGUCACCUCCAUCCUUUUUUCCUGGGAUAUUUUUCUGCAUGAUGAAACGUUCCCCUUUUUUCCUUUUCCAGAAGGACUCCCUGUAGCAUUUGCUGUGUUUGUCACUCACAGCUGUGGAGUUUCUUCGCUGCUCCAUAAUCAACAGUAAUUCUCCUCAUUUUAUAGUUUUUAAAACAUCCUUGCUCCCCUCUUACCAACUCCGUGGAUGCCGUUAGCGUGCCUUGGGAUUAUCGUAUUUUGUGUACAAAUGCCCUGCUGUUGUAAGCCUCCGCCUUUCUAUGGUGCAGUUGCUAGAAAAAGGAUUAAAAAUUAAAUGCACAUCUUG